UAUUAAAAAUUUCAUCCACUUGUACUAUUUAAAACUAGUAUGGUUGACAGAAUAACCAAACAAUGACACGUGGGGCGUGUCACGUAUACCUCAUGUUGACCUAUAGGGAACAAUUUUUUAACAAUAGAAAUGGAUGAAAUUUUUAACU
Molecule: non-coding RNA, 148 nt
Organism: Gossypium raimondii (Peruvian cotton)
Lineage: Eukaryota; Viridiplantae; Streptophyta; Magnoliopsida; Malvales; Malvaceae
Source: Rfam